GAUGAACGCUGGCGGCGUGCUUAACACAUGCAAGUCGAACGAUGAAGCCCAGCUUGCUGGGUGGAUUAGUGGCGAACGGGUGAGUAACACGUGAGUAACCUGCCCUUAACUCUGGGAUAAGCCUGGGAAACUGGGUCUAAUACCGGAUAGGAGCGCCUACCGCAUGGUGGGUGUUGGAAAGAUUUAUCGGUUUUGGAUGGACUCGCGGCCUAUCAGCUUGUUGGUGUGGUAAUGGCUCACCAAGGCGACGACGGGUAGCCGGCCUGAGAGGGUGACCGGCCACACUGGGACUGAGACACGGCCCAGAAGCCUGCGGGAGGCAGCAGUGGGGAAUAUUGAACAAUGGGCGAAAGCCUGAUGCAGCGACGCCGCGUGAGGGAUGACGGCCUUCGGGUUGGAAACCUCAUUAAGUAGGGAAGAAGCGAAAGUGACGGUACCUGCAGAAGAAGCACCGGCUAACUACGUGC
Molecule: ribosomal RNA, 467 nt
Filed under: uncultured bacterium
Lineage: Bacteria
Description: partial 16S ribosomal RNA
Rfam family: Bacterial small subunit ribosomal RNA
Source: RNAcentral